UGCAAUCACUACUGUAAGUCGCUCUGGAUAAGAGCGUCUGCUAAAAUGACUAAAA
Non-coding RNA from Salmo salar (Atlantic salmon), 55 nucleotides. The record is from Rfam. Lineage: Eukaryota; Metazoa; Chordata; Actinopteri; Salmoniformes; Salmonidae.